Molecule: non-coding RNA, 69 nt
Organism: Podarcis lilfordi (Lilford's wall lizard)
Lineage: Eukaryota; Metazoa; Chordata; Lepidosauria; Squamata; Lacertidae
Source: the annotation of a GenBank genome assembly
GUCAUAGCUCAGAGGUGGGACAUCUGUUUUGCAUACAGAAGGUCUCGGGUUCAAUCUCCAGCAUCUCCA